RNAcentral lists this long non-coding RNA (519 nucleotides) under Mus spretus (western wild mouse). Its description in RNAcentral is "lncRNA (ENSMSPG00010033354.1)". Lineage: Eukaryota; Metazoa; Chordata; Mammalia; Rodentia; Muridae. The record is from RNAcentral.
GCCCUUCAGCAACUGUAGGAGCAGGCGUGGUGUUGUCGCUACUGUCAAAUCCUGGACCCGGCAGCCGACUUUUUCCUGACUUGGACAUGAGCAGCAGAAGCAAGGGAAGUUUCAAGACACACAGUAAAGUUUGCUUCAGUCCAGGGAUCACAGUGCACAAAACCCGAGCAUACUUCUGAGCUCUCCGUGAUGUUGAAAAAGAAUCUUCUUCAAGAAUGACCAAAUGCUUAACCUGCCUUGUGCCCAGCUCAGUGCAGAGAGAAGUUACUACACUGAACGAGAACUACAACCAGGAAGCAGUCUCCACCCUGAGAAGCAGCCAUUAGUACACAGAGGAAAGUGCUGUCAUCAGAACAAAAUGCACCCUCAUCUCUGAUGUCACAAACCACAUCACACUAAGCUCAAAUUAAUGCCUUGACUACUGUGUCUCUGCACGUAUGAUGCUGAAUCGCUGGCUUCGUUCCUUAGUCUCCACGUGUAAAACAGUUGGCUGUUGCUCGUGUUGCACAAGUACUUUAU